Molecule: ribosomal RNA, 468 nt
Filed under: uncultured bacterium
Lineage: Bacteria
Description: partial 16S ribosomal RNA
Rfam family: Bacterial small subunit ribosomal RNA
Source: RNAcentral
GACGAACGCUGGCGGCGUGCUUAACACAUGCAAGUCGAACGGAAAGGCCCUGCUUUUGUGGGGUGCUCGAGUGGCGAACGGGUGAGUAACACGUGAGUAACCUGCCCUUGACUUUGGGAUAACUUCAGGAAACUGGGGCUAAUACCGGAUAGGAGCUCCUGCUGCAUGGUGGGGGUUGGAAAGUUUCGGCGGUUGGGGAUGGACUCGCGGCUUAUCAGCUUGUUGGUGGGGUAGUGGCUUACCAAGGCUUUGACGGGUAGCCGGCCUGAGAGGGUGACCGGCAACUUGGGGACGGAGACACGGCCCAGACCCCGACGGGGGGCAGCAGGGGGAAAUAUUGCAAAAGGGGGGGAAGCCGGACGCAGCAACCCCGCGGGCGGGAUGGGGGCCUUCGGUUUGAAACCCGUUUUCGCCUGUGACAAAGGGGGGGGGAGGGAAAGGGGAAAAGAAGCCCGGCCAACCAAGGGC